Molecule: ribosomal RNA, 425 nt
Filed under: uncultured bacterium
Lineage: Bacteria
Description: partial 16S ribosomal RNA
Rfam family: Bacterial small subunit ribosomal RNA
Source: RNAcentral
GUGAGGAAUUUUCCGCAAUGGGCGAAAGCCUGACGGAGCAAUGCCGCGUGAAGGAUGAAGGCCUAUGGGUUGCAAACUUCUUUUCUCAGAAAAGAAUUAUGACGGUAUCUGAGGAAUAAGCAUCGGCUAACUCUGUGCCAGCAGCCGCGGUAAGACAGAGGAUGCAAGCGUUCUCCGGAAUGAUUGGGCGUAAAGCGUCUGUAGGUUGUUUAAAAAGUAUUCUGUCAAAGAUUAGGGCUUAACCCUAGAUAGGCAGAAUAAACUUUUAAGCUAGAGUUUGGUAGAGGCAGAGGGAAUUCCCGGUGGAGCGGUGAAAUGCGUAGAUAUCGGGAGGAACACCAAAGGCGAAGGCACGCUGCUGGGCCAAUACUAACACUGAGAGACGAAAGCGAGGGGAGCAAAUGGGAUUAGAAACCCUUGUAGCC